RNAcentral lists this RNase P RNA (411 nucleotides) under Rhodococcus sp. RD6.2. Its description in RNAcentral is "Bacterial RNase P class A". It matches the Rfam family "Bacterial RNase P class A". From Rfam's summary of the family: Ribonuclease P (RNase P) is a ubiquitous endoribonuclease, found in archaea, bacteria and eukarya as well as chloroplasts and mitochondria. Its best characterised activity is the generation of mature 5'-ends of tRNAs by cleaving the 5'-leader elements of precursor-tRNAs. Cellular RNase Ps are ribonucleoproteins. The record is from Rfam by way of RNAcentral. Lineage: Bacteria; Bacillati; Actinomycetota; Actinomycetes; Mycobacteriales; Nocardiaceae.
CGAGUUGGUCGGACGGCCGCGGCGAAGGGAACCACGCGCGUCGGCGUGCAGGCCCGGCGCCGAGGAAAGUCCGGACUCCACAGAGCAGGGCGGUUGCUAACGGCAACCCGGGGUGACCCGCGGGACAGUGCCACAGAAAACAGACCGCCGGCGCGUGAGCGUCGGUGAGGGUGAAACGGUGCGGUAAGAGCGCACCAGCGCCCCGGGUGACCGGGGUGGCUAGGUAAACCCCGCCCGGAGCAAGGUCGAAGGCCGCACCUCACGGUGCGGCUGCGCAGGUGUUCGAGGGCUGCUCGCCCGAGCCUGCGGGUGGACCGCUCGAGGUACCCGGCAACGGUGUGCCCAGAUGGAUGGUCGUCGCCCGGCGCCUAGCGCCGGGAACAGGAUCCGGCUUACAGACCAACUCGUCCG